GGAAAACUCCUGGAAGAAGUCAAGUCAUAAGCUGGAUGUGCUCGGUGAGGUGAGGUUGCAUAGUGGCUUCCAGUUUGAUGGUGAAGAAAACUAGGUGUUCGCAUCAGGUCAUCUAAAUACCCUUAGCCCUGGACAGAUUUGAGUGGCCCUGAAAACGUCUGCUCCCUGGCUGCCCUUCCUCUGUGCUCCUUUAUAGAUCAACCCUCCCACUGCUAGACCCUGGCCUGGGAACUACCUCUGGAGGGGCCUUUGCUGAGCACUGCUCUCAUCCACUACAUGCUGAUUUUGGAGUUCAACAUUGGGAAGUGUCUGACCCCAAGAUCAUCAUCAAUCCUAAAUGAAAUCUGUGAAACUCUGGAAACAGCUAAAUUUGAGGUUACUGAACACCUCACUAUGCCCCAGGCCCUGUGCCGUCAUCUGGAAUCAGAGAUGUGGAUCCACCUGAGAGGGGCCGAGAUUCUUCCCCCAGCGUGUCUCUCCAGUUGUGGCAUGUGGGACGCCGCCU
This 505-nucleotide long non-coding RNA is filed under the name Equus caballus (horse). RNAcentral describes it as "lncRNA (ENSECAG00000057646.1)". Lineage: Eukaryota; Metazoa; Chordata; Mammalia; Perissodactyla; Equidae. The record is from RNAcentral.